Molecule: long non-coding RNA, 6230 nt
Organism: Meriones unguiculatus (Mongolian gerbil)
Lineage: Eukaryota; Metazoa; Chordata; Mammalia; Rodentia; Muridae
Exons: 5
Source: RefSeq, a predicted model, not a curated record
GGCCAAGAUCUGUAAACAUUUUACUUCUGUGCCUGAGGUCAUUAGGCUGGGGCUUUUUGUGUUUUGUGUUGUUUUGAGACAGCGUUUCUCCAUGUAGCUCUGGCUGUCCCGGAACUCGCUCGUGGACCAGGUUGGGCUCGAACUCAGAGAUUCACUCUGCCUCUCCAGUGCUGGGAUUAGAGGCCUGGUGGGCCUUCUUAACUAAAAGCAGCUGUCUUGUAACAAGGGAAAACAGAGAUACGAACCGGCAAUGUGUGGGGACACAGCAGAGAGAGACGCGGCUGCAUGCCCAGGAAUGCCAAGGACUGUGACCCCUGCCAGGAGCUAGCAACACACGGGAAGAAUUCCUUUCUAUGGGUUUCAGAGGUAGUUUGGUUCUGUCGCUACCUUGAUUUCUGGCUGCCAGCGCUGAGCUGGCAUUUCUGAUGGAAGCCACCAAGCGCUUUGCUAAGGGAGCCCAGGAAGCUAACAGGAUGACUGAUGGGAAGGGCUGACUCCUCCCAGCCGUUGAGACCAGCAUCUCCUAAGGCUCCCCUGCUUACUGCUGUUUACUGCUUUGUGCGCUUGCAGUGACCUCGGCCGGGCACAGUGGCACAUGCCUGACAUCCUCCCAAGAAGCCUAAGACAAAAGCAUCACCACUGAUUCAUUCCCUCUUCCCCAAGUUGACAUUCCUUUUGUUUAUAUGGCAGAUCACAUUGAUGGAUUUUCGGAGGUUGAAACUACCUCUGCAUGCCUGGGAUGAAGCCUACUUGGUCAUAGUGGAUGAUAUCUUUGAUGUGUUCUUGGAUUCGGUUUGCAGAGACAGCAUCUGUAAUUUUCCUCACCAGAUUUUCCAAAGCCAAAGCUUCUAUCUUCUGGGAAUGUAGCACCAUGAAGUGAGAAGAGCAAUUCCACUGAAUAAUGAAAAAAGCCUUAAGUUAUCCUUCACUAUGCGAGAAAGACGAGCAUGGUCAAAGACUGAAGGCAGCUGCGGGAUGACCGAAGAUCACAGGCCUCCCCCAAAGCUACACUCCUUCCCCUAUGGUUCCAAGGGUCCUCCGAAGAUGAGACCACCGAAAUGAGAACUCAUGAGCAUAUGAACCAGCUGGAUGGCCGCAGUAAAUUUACUCAGGGACCUUGAUAAACAGGGCAGGCAGGGCUGGCAAGAUCCGGUAAAAGCACCGCUGGUAAGCCUGGUGACUGCAGUGUGAUCCCUGAGACCCGCAGGGUGAAGAGAACCAGCCCCCACAAACUGCCCUCUGAUCCCCCCUGCUUGUGCGAUGAGCACACACAGACACACACACACACAUGAAAAAACACCUCCCAUCUUGCUGAUUUACCAGAAGCAAAAACUGGUGGUGGUUUUCCUUCUAGGUUGUCCACAUCCGUGUUGAAAAGCGGAAUUUUAGGAUCGUCAUAGGCAACGACUUCCCUUCAAAACACAUGAAGAGAAGCAUGAGUGUGAGCGCUCAAAGCUCUUCAGCCCCACUUGGGCAAGGAGGACAUACAGGUUGGCCGGCAGCCCCCUGAGGGACAGAACAGGAUGACUGUGUGCACAGCUGCCUCCCCAUUCUUUACAGGCUGAAGACCGCCUUUCCAUUACUUUACGGUAGAUGACAAGUGGCAUCGGAAGGUAGAAACGAUUUGGAACGUCUUCCUAGCAUGGUGGGCUUCACUCUGUAUAGGUGAGGUGGCAUUAACACUUCCUCCACAGUGGGUACCGCUGCCAUCACCUCCUUAUGGAGGGACUGCUCUCCAGAGGGUGGAAAUCAACUCCGGCAAAUUCAUGCCCAUUGCCAGGACAAAGUUAAAAAAGCUUCAAAUGUAUCUUUAACAAUGUUGAUUUCUAAAUUCUAAUUGUAUUUUGUAUGUAUGAAUGGUUUGCCUGCAUCUGUGUCUGCGCACCCGUGGGUGCAGUGCUCAAGGAGGUCAGAAGAAGGUGUAGAUCUCUUAGAACUUUUACAGACAGUUGUGAGCUGCCAUGUGGGUGCCAGGAAUUGAAGCCUGGUCCUCUGGAGAAGCAGCCGGUGCUUUCAACCAAGGAGCCAUUUCUCCAGCCCCUGAAGCAAAUGGAAGUUUUACAGAGAAAGGGAAGAAAGCUCAUUUUCUGUAUAUUUGUUCAGUAAGUCAGGAAUACCAACAAAAUGCAAAAGAAGCAACUUUCAGUAUCUGAUUGUAGCCAACACUAGUUUCCUGAUCACUUGGAAAAUACUAAUGGGUGGCAGUAGUAACAGCAGCAAUCAGGACAGUCAACAGCUAUGGAGCAUUUCUACGCUGGGUUCUGGGCACAGAAACGCACGCACGCACGCACACAGCAGCACGCACACAGCAAAACUGUGCGAUUCUAUAAAACAUCGCAGUUCUGCAUCUGUCUAUACUCACCAGCUGACAUUCUGCGGCCGAAUAAUGAUCUUCCGGUAGGCCCCAGACAGGGAGUAAUCUCGGAUUGUGUGUCUCAUGUUGUCAAUAUCAAGACUGUCUGCGGUGAGCAUUUCCCUGUAGGCCUCACUAACUAAUACAAAAGACAGUUAGUUGGAACCCAGCCAGUCGGCAGGCUACCUUGAACUAUAUACUAGAAAGAGCAGAACAGGCACGUUGACUAGGACUGCCCUAACCAAGUUAGUUAACGCUAGUGACUUAGUAACCAGGCCUAGAAGGCACCUCCAGCCUCAGCUUAGUAACCCUGUGGUAUUAUUUUUGUAAUCAGCCAUAUAGUUUGUUGUAGCAUCAAGUUUCUAGGCUAGCUUGAAAAGGCCACUUCAGGUGGAGUUUCUGUUACUACACGGUGACUCUAAAUGUUACAAAUAGGAGAUCCUAGAAAGCAUCUGGUUUACCUCAGCCCACAGGAGAGUUUCUAGUAUCCCCUAUGCGUCAUCUGUGGGGGAACCAGCACAGGAGGCCCAGAAUGCAAAGGUCCCUCCUAUUACAGCUCGUUUUCCGCCACUCUGCUGACUCCUCUGAAACAUGGCAGGUUAGCCGUCCUCCUCGUGUGUAAGUGCCGGAACUCUACGCCGCUUCCUUCAACUGUUCCUCUGACAUUUUUGGCUUUCUCUGCUCCAGGACUAAGAUACUUGGUCUACCAAUUAGUCUGUGUUAACGUGAUGCAGACUGGGGGAAGCGGCCCUUGACUAAGGACUUACUCCCAUCAGACUGGCCUGCAGCAUGUCCACAGUGCAGUUUGCUGGUUUUGGAGGAGGGUCUAGCCCGCUGUGGGUGUUGCCACCCCUGGACAGGUGGUCCUGGCUUGUCAGAGGAAGCUAGCCGAGCAAGCCAGAGGAAGGCAGCAAUGAGCAGCUUUCCCUCAGUUCCUGCACCCACUCUUGCUAGAGCUCCUGUCCUGACCCAGUGUGAUCAGGUUGGGUAAGCCCAGUUCACCCUUUUCUCCCCAAGCUGCCCCUGGAGGUAAUGUUUUAUCACAGCAAAAGAAGCAAAACUGGACCCUGGAGCAGCGAACUGGUCAACGUUGUUUCUUCUCCUGUUUUAACUGAGCCUGGCCCACUGCUACUGAAAGGGAACCCCAGGACACUUGGCUCUUGAUCAGACCAACUGUCUGGGCCACCCUACAGGUGUCUGCGAUAGUCGUGAUCCGGGUUCUGCCGGAGACUGGCAUGCAGGUCGGAGGACUCCCUCUAGUGUGGACAUGCCCUGAACAGAGCAAAGGCAACAGGGCUCCCUCUCUCCCAGACUUGAGACAGAAUCUCUCCUGCUCUUGGACUUCACACACAUCCUAGGUUCUUGUACCUGAAGCCCCUGACCAAUGGCUUCUCUGGUCCUCUAGCAUGAGGAGAGCCAGGGACGUCUCAGUAGCUAUAAUCCAGUAAGCCAAUGCCUCUCAUAACCCCCCUUAUCUCUAUUUGUGCUAUCAGUUACAGAAGGACUGUGACUAAGAAAAGGCUUUGCUUUUAUUUUUAUUUUCCUGUUUAAAAGCACAAGAACAAUUUUAUCAGUUCUUUCUUUUGUUUUCUGAGACAGGGUUUCUAUGUGUAACCUAGGCUGUCCUCAACUGGCUUUGUAGACUAGGCCGUUCUUGAACUCACAGAGAUCUGCCUGCCUCUGCCUCCCGAGUGCUGGGAUUAAAUGUGUGUGCCACCAUUCCUGGCUCUUAUCAGAGUUUAAAAGAAGAACUCCACAAAAGGCAAGCUGUAGAUCUCAGCAGCCAUCCAAGGAGGAAGAUGAAAGGCCAUGCCAUCUGGGUCAGGCUCAGAGGUCAGCCAUGUGGCAAACAGGAGGAAAGGGGGCCUUCAAAGAAAAAGUAAGGAAGCCCAAAGUGCCAGGAAAACCAUAGCUGUGCUAUGUCGUGCAGCAAGUAAAAAAAGCGGCACCUCAGGAAGAGGCAGGACACCUCAGCAACAGGUGCUCGUGGCAGCUGUGAGGCAACCACGAGCUUUAGCAUCUUCAAUCUCUCCUUGGCUGAUGCCAUGGGAAGCAGAUUCUAUUCGUCCCUGCCCGCCUUCCUCACUCUUUCCUGCUCACCCCACUCCCUUCUCUUCAGUGAUGUCAGCCAGUCCAGGCAGCAGGGCGAUGUGGACCGCUUACAAAUCAGAGCUCGAAAAACCUGCCCAGGGGUAGCCAAUCACCCAAGAGGACUUUAGUCCUCAGCAUUUUCUAAUUUACAGCAUUUCAAGGAAUGUAACACUAGCAAGUAGAAAUACAGCCCUCUGACCUAGGGAAAACUUUAUUUUUAACAGAACAAACAAACACCUAUCCACAAGCCAGUGCUGGCUGGGAGAAGAUACUGGGUCAGCUCUCCCAAUCCGCCCAGAGCCGUUCCUUUCCUGACACUGCAUCCCCGAGCCACAGACGCCGAAAGCCACCAAUGGCACCCACGACGGUGAUAGAAGCCAUGAUAAAAGUCUGCACAAUGGGAAGUAAGUUAGAUUGGCAUCCAACAUACAGGCUGAAGCAAUCCUCUAGCCUCAGCACCUGGGCUCACAGGCCCAUGACAUUACACUGGGGUAGCUUCUAAUUUAAACUAAUCUUCUGAAUACAUUCCUUUCUAGAAGACCCUCACCAUUUAAAAAAAAAAAUAUAUAUAUAUAUAGUUCAUAUAUAUAUAUAUAUAUAUAUAUAUAUAUAUAUAUAUAUAUAUUGUUCAUAUAUAUUUCUAUGUAGCCAUGGUUGGCCCGGAACUUGCUUUGUAGGCCAGGCUAGCUUUGAACUUACAGAGAUCUGUCAGCCUCUGUUGGGAUUAGUCAUCACACUCAGAAGUUUAUAUAUUUUUGAAAGCUAAAACUCUAUUAAAACUUGCUAGAAAGAAAGCUUUAAGAUUAUGUUUCAAGUGCUGAUUUUUCCCUCUGCUUCAAUCUUGGCUACUGUCAGCUUAAUCACAUUGCAUUUCUUUUAACUAUUUGGCCCCAAACAUGAGACUUACUUUUAUGUUUGGGGUAGAUAACAUCAAAACCUGGCAAAGGCAUCACCACAUCAUGAAUGGAGUAAUUAUCAACAUCAUCAUCUUCAAUAUAGGUGGCUGUGGCUGCAAAUCCAUAAGUAAACAGCAGGUUAAGAAAAAGCCUUUUUCAUGAAUCCAGCUUCCUAAAAUUAUACACAUCUAAGUGAGUGUUUAAAAGCACAAGAUGUCCAGAUCCAGAGGUCCUUUUUAAAUUGGCCGAGGAACCUUGAGCAAGGGGCUGAAUCUGGUACAAACCAGAGUACCUCCCGGUAGCACUGUGACAGGGCAAUGCAGGCAAAGCCUAAGACCACAGUGAUGUUUCAUAGAAGACAGGGUAUUAGCACUUAAAAAAAAAAGAUUCUAUUUUGUGUAUAUGGAUGAUUUGCCUGUAUGUAUGUCUGUGUACCAUGUGUGGGCAGAAACCCAGAGGCCAGAGGAGGGCAUUAGAGCCCCUGGAAAUGGAGUUAUAGACAGCUGUGAGCCCCCAUGUAGGUGCUGAGGAUGGCUGCUCCUCUGGAGGAACAGCCAGUGCGCAUCACAGGGGAACCACAGCUCUAGACCCAUAUUAACAUUUCUUCCUUCCUUCCUUUCUCUCUCUCUUUCCCUCCUUCCCUCUCUCUCUCUCUCUUUUUAAAGAAAGGGUUUCUCCAUGAACCCCUGGCUGUCCUGGAACUCCCAGAGGUCCACCUGCCUCUGCCUCCUGAGUGUCACCAUGACUGGCAAGCACUUCUUAUGUUAAUGCUGUGGAUCACUCUAUCAUGCUCACCAAUAAAGUUAGCUCCAGGCUGGUAUUCACCUGAAGAAACUGCCUGAUGACAGACUGAAUCACUGAGACACAUUAAUAAAUAUACGUAUUUUGAA